UGCCCCCGGUGUGUCCCAGCAUCGCUCUGAGAGAAGUUCUGAAAUCCUUUAUCUUAACUGCCGCAUCCCUAGGGCCCACAUCACAUUUCUGGGAGUAUCGUUCUAGGAUCCAUAUCUUUCUCUGGCAGUUCUACCUUCUAACGUGUAGACGCCGCUGCUUAAAGUCCUGCAUUGCUCAACCCCUCCGUCUCUGAUCCAUGAAGAGUUGAACGAGGCUCUAUUUGUAUGCAGAAUCCCUGCUGUGUCAGUGGCCGUAGAGGAUUGUGAUUUGUACCUAUUGAGAUCCUCCCUCUGUGUGGGGCUGUGUUACAGGGAGCUCGCUGUGUUUUUCUAAGCAUUGAACGGCCUGUUUUCUGGGGUCACUUCAGAAGACUGAUCUUACCUUAGAAGGAAGCCCAGAGGAAGAGGAAAGCAAGGAGUCAGAAAUGAGUCGUUCCCAGGCUUGGAAGAUGUGGGCUUCAGCAGUUGUGGCAGUUGCUCUGAGGCUUAUGGGGUCUUCCCUGACCAGGGAUGGA
Dama dama (fallow deer) is the source of this 515-nucleotide long non-coding RNA. RefSeq lists it as uncharacterized. The record is from RefSeq and is a predicted model, not a curated record. The transcript is spliced from 3 exons. Lineage: Eukaryota; Metazoa; Chordata; Mammalia; Artiodactyla; Cervidae.